AUUUUAAAGGGCAGCGGCGGCCUCCUUGCAUCGGCUCGCCCACUGUUUCGUGCCAGUCGUUCUUGUUUAUUUUCGCCGGCGCAGAUUCAAAAAUGGCCACGGGAGACAUAAGAAACAACCUCAAGAUGCUCAGCGCAGAAAUCCGAAGUGUCAAAACACCGUCGGCUCUUGUAAACCUCGAAGGGAUGAUGAAUGGUGACCCAGAGGUCUACCUGCCAAUCUACGACUACCUGUUUCAGUGGUAUAACACACGCUUGGCCAAUGAAAUUUUACGGAGAGACCUGAAGCUGCCCCCGUACAAGCACAACAGGACAAAGUUCCUUGAAACCAUGUACCUAGUGCUGCGGGAGCUGUUCCAGUGGAAGCCUCCACUGAGUAGUUCGCAGUUCUUCUCAUCUGGCUUUGCUGAGAAGAAGAUAAUCAUGUGCAGGGACAUUGUGAAGCUAAUUAAAGAGUACAGCAGCUCUCAGAAGUCGGCCAGCCAAGCUGCUACAAGCCCUGCCAGCACAGCAUCAAGGCCGAAGGCCCAAAAAGUGCCUGCUGCCAAAUCCAGUGCUGCUGUGACAAAGGCCAGCUUGCAACCAGCAGCUCCCACCAAUGGUGCUGUCAGCAGAGAGAAGCGUAUGUGCAGGCGCCAUGGAUUUCUACAUGUUUGUUUUGUUUGCUUGCUUGUGCGGUGUUGCCUUGUGCCCCUUUCUUUCAUUCUUUUGUGUUUCUUUUCUCGUAGUUUCAAAACUUUUCUUCAUAUUUACAAAUGGGCAUCCACUCAAAGCUCCUCCUCAACUCCACCAAAUGCAGCACGGCACCACGCCCACCCCUCAACUGAAGAAGACGCUGCCCACUCCUCAAUGAUUCCUAUGAAGACAAAGAGUUGCUCGAAAAAUGCACUUUCACUGCAGUGCAUUUGGGCAGAUGCCAAAAGCAUCCGAUUACACAAUUUUCACCCGGGAAUCACCGCAAAGUGUCAUUGAAGCACAAUGACCACUUUCUUGAGCCAAAAAGAGUGUCAAAUGCAGGAACGUCUUAGAAUACAGUGGUUAGUCUUGAUUGUUACACGUGCAUUCUUCACUGAACAGCAACAACAAAAGCAUUAGCAGUUUGCGUGUUCAAAGAAAAGACACCAAGAUUUUAAUAGGGACAUCAUUUUUUUUUUUUUGAAUUAUGCAUUAGAAACUUGGAUUAUCCAAAGUUGAUCGAACUUAGACCCAGAACACAACUGCAAGUUAUACCAAGUGGACGUGCACACAUGCACAGAGAGAGACAGAUAGAUAGAUCCUGGUUGUCAAAGCUACAAGUGUGCUGCAAGGUUGGGUUAUACAGUUUGCACCCUGAGUAUCAAACAUUGAAUUCUGAUCCUUCAUGCCUUAUGGAUGUCCUCUGAGCACAUGUAUCUGGCCUUGUUGCUGUUUUCUGUAAAGCCAAAGUGUUUGAAAUAGUUGUAUUUAAAGGAAAGGUUUGUAUGAAUUAAGCAACUUCAGAAUGCAAAGAAAAUAUUGUGGGCUUUGUUAUUUGUUUAAAACUGAAAUUUUUUAUUAUUGUGGGCCAACUGUAUACAGUGCAAUUCUGUGCCAACUAGUUCUUGCAGUUUGAUAUUGUCUUCCUUUGUUAAGUCAUCUUUUUAAUUUUUUUUAAGCACCAUCAUCCAAGGCUGUGCUCAGUGCAAAAAUAGACACACUGCUGCACCAUCUGAUGGAAGUUCAAAGCAGUGUCAAGGCCCUGAAGGAGCAAAUGUUGCUGGUCAUGAACCAGACUGAGACCAUGCUGGACCAAGUGCUGCCG
Molecule: RNA transcript, 1779 nt
Organism: Dermacentor silvarum
Lineage: Eukaryota; Metazoa; Arthropoda; Arachnida; Ixodida; Ixodidae
Gene name: centrosomal protein of 44 kDa
Exons: 5
Source: RefSeq, a predicted model, not a curated record